AACGAACGCUGGCGGCAUGCCUAACACAUGCAAGUCGAACGAAACCUUCGGGUCUAGUGGCGCACGGGGGCGUAACGCGUGGGAACCUUAACUUAGAUUCAGACUAACUACCCGAAAGGGGUGCUAAUACCGGAUAAUGUCUUCGGACCAAAGAUUUAUCGCCUUUGGAUGGGCCCGCGUUGGAUUAGAUAGUUGGUAGGGUAAAAGCCUACCAAGGCGACGAUCCAUAGCUGGUCUGGGAGGCUGAUCAGCCACACUGGGACUGAGACACGGCCCAGACUCCUACGGGAGGCAGCAGUGGGGAAUAUUGGACCAUGGGCGAAAGCCUGAUCCAGCAAUGCCGCGUGAGUGAUGAAGGCCUUAGGGUUGUAAAGCUCUUUUACCCGGGAUGAUAAUGACAGUACCGGGAGAAUAAGCUCCGGCUAACUCCGUG
This 433-nucleotide ribosomal RNA is filed under the name uncultured bacterium. Its description in RNAcentral is "partial 16S ribosomal RNA". It matches the Rfam family "Bacterial small subunit ribosomal RNA", at positions 29 to 507 of the family's 1533-position model. The record is from RNAcentral.